UUUAUGGAAAAAAAAAAAAGAAAAGACAAAAGAUUUGGGAAUAAAAAAUAGAAAAAUAAAAUUUUUAAAACGACGAAAAAUUAAAAUAAGAAAAAAAAUUAAAGCAAAAGAAAAAAGAUAAAUAAAGCAUGAAAAAAGAAAAAAAAAACAAAAAUACAACAAAAAAUUAUAAAAGGUAAGAAAAUGAAAGAGGACAGAAAAUGAAUAAAAAUUUCAAAAAUGAAAUGGAAUGACAAAAUGAAAAUAAAAUUAGUUUAAAAAAUAAAAAAAAAUUGAAAAACAUAUAAGACCUAACAAUAUAAAAAGUCAGACAAAAAAUAAAAAAAAGAGAAAAGUUAAUGCAAAAUAAAAAAAAGUAUGAGAAUUUAAAAGCGCAAAUAAGAAAUGAAAGGAAAUUUGAGGAAAAAAAGAGACAAAAGAUUUGGAAUAAAAAAUAGAAAAAUAGAAAAUUUUAAAACAACAAAAAAAAUUAAAACAAGUAAAAAUGAAAGCAUAUGAAAAAAAAAAGCAAAAAGAAGGCAAAUUAUGAAGGGAAAAAGUUAUUAAAAAAUUACAAAGUAGAAAAAAAAGAAAAUAAAAAAAUAAAUUAAGAGAAAAAAUUAAAUAAAAUACCAAAAAAGGAAAAAAUAAAAAUAAACAAAUUAAGAAAAUAAAAAAUUAGCGAAUCAAAAAAUAUAAAAAGACAAAAUGAAUAAAAAUUUCAAAUAUAAAAUGAAAAAAACUAUUGGUUCAGAAUGUACAAAGAAAAAUAAAAAAAAUAUAACAAGCAGAGGAAAAAGAUAUAAAAUAUGAAAGAUGAAAAAUAAAAUAAAAGAAAGUGCACAAAAAAAGAAGUUUGAGGUUUUAAAACUAUAAAGAAGAAAUAAAAAAAGGUGUGAACAAAAAGAUUUAAGAAAAAAAAAAGAAAAUACAAAAUAUAUAAAAUAAAAUUUGAGAAAAAGAAGAAAAAAAUAAAAAAUGAAGAGGCAAAAAUAUGAAAUAAAAGAAAAAGAAAAAAUUUAUAGAAAAUUUUAAAACAAAGAGAAAAGUGAACAAAAAAGAAUGAUGGCAUAUAAAAAAAAAGUAAAAAAAAGAAGAAAAAUUUGGAAGGAGAAAAAGUUAAUGAAAAAAAUAUAAAAAUGCAAUAGAAAAUAACCAAGAAUGAUAAAAGAAAAAAAGAUAGAAAAGUAAAAAAUUCUAAAACUUUAUAAAAAUUUAUGAAAUUAUAAAUAAAGAAAGAAAAUAAAAAAUAAAAUAAAAUAAGAAAAAAAGUAAAGCAAAAGAAAAAAGAUAAAUAAAGCACAAAAAAAACAAAAAUACAACAAAAAAUAUAAAAAGUAAGAAAAUAAAAAAAGGACAAAAAUUGAAUAAAAAUUUCAAAAAUGAAAUGGAAUGACAAAAUGAAAAAAAAAUUAGUUUAACAAAAAAUUGAAAAACAUAUAAGACCUAAUAAUAUAAAAAGUCAGAGAAAAAAUUAAAAAAGAGCAAAGUUAAUGCAAAAUAAAAAAAAAAAGUAUGAGAAUUUAAAAACGCAAAUAGGAAAUGAAAGGAAAUUUGUGGAAAAAAAAAAGAAAAGACAAAAGAUUUGGAAUAAAAAACAGAAAAAUAAAAAUUUUUAAAACAAUGAAAAAUUAAAACAAGUAAACACGAAAGCAUAUGUAAAAAAAGCAAAAAGAAGGAAAAUUGUGAAGGGAAAAAGUUAUUAAGAAAUUACAAAGUAGAAAAAAAUAAGAAAAUAAAAAAAAUAAAUUAAGAGAAAAAAUUAAAUAAAAUACCAAAAAAGGAAAAAAUAAAAAAUUAACGAAUCAAAAAAAUAUAAAAAGACAAAAUGAAUAAUCAAAUAUAAAAUGGAAAAAACUUUUAGUUUAGAAUUUACAAAGAAAAAGAAAAAAAAAUAACAAAUAGAGGAAAAAGAUAUAAAAUAUGAAAGAUGAAAAAUAAAAUAAAAGAAAGUGCACAAAAAAAGAAGUUUGAGGUUUUAAAGUUAUAAAGAAGAAAAAAAAAAAGGUGUGAACAAAAAGAUUUAAGAAAAAAAUAAAAAAUGAAAAUACAAAAUAUAUAAAAUAAAAUUUGAGAAAAAGAAGAAAAAAAAUAAAGAAUGAAGAGGCAAAAAUAUGAAAUAAAACAAAAAGAAAAAAAAUUAUAGAAAAUUUUAAAACAAAGAAAAAACUGAACGAAAAAGAAUGAAAGCACAUAAAAAAAAGUAAAAAAAAGAAGAAAAAUUCGGAAGGAGAAAAAGUUAAUGAAAAAUUAUAAAAAUGCAACAGAAAAUAACCAAGAAUGAUAAAAGAAAAAAAGAUAGAAAAAUAAAAAAUUCCAAAACCUUAUAAAAAUUUAUGAAAUUAUGAAUAAAGAAAGAAAAUAAAAUAAGAAAAAAAAUUAAAGCAAAAGAAAAAAGAUAGAUAAAGCACGAAAAAAGAAAAAAAAAAACAAAAAUACAACAAAAAAUUAUAAAAAGUAAGAAAAUGAAAAAGGACAAAAAUUGAAUAAAAAUUUCAAAAAUGAAAUGGAAUGACAAAAUGAAAAAAAAAUUAGUUUAAAAAAUACAAAAAAUUAAAAAACAUAUAAGACCAAACAAUCUAAAAAGUCUGACAAAAAAUUAAAAAAGAGAAAAGUUAAUGCAAAAUAAAAAAAAAAAGUAUGAGAAUUUAAAAACGCAAAUAAGAAAUGAAAGGAAAUUUGUGGAAAAAAAAAGAAAAGACAAAAGAUUUGGAAUAAAAAAGAGAAAAAUAAAAAUUUUUAAAACAACGAAAAAAUUAAAAAAAGUAAAAAUGAAAACAUAUGAAAAAAAAAAAGCAAAAAGAAGGAAAAUUGCAAAGGGAAAAAGUUAUUAAAAAUUUACAAAGUAAAAAAAAGUUAGGGAAUCAAAAAAUAUAAAAGGAAAAAAAUAAAAAUAAACAAAGUAAGAAAAUAAAAAAUUAGGGAAUCAAAAAUAUAAAAAGACAAAAUGAAUAAAAAUUUCAAAUAUAAAAAGAAAGUGCACAAAAAAAGAAGUUUGAGGUUUUAAAAUUACAAAGAAGAAAUAAAAAAAGGUGUGAACAAAAAGAUUUAAGAAAAAAAUAACAAAUGAAAAUACAAAAUAUAUAAAAAAAUAUUUGAGAAAAAAAUGAGAAAAAGAAGAAAAAAAUAAAAAAUGAAGAGGCAAAAAUAUGAAAUAAAACAAAAAGAAAAAAAUUUAUAGAAAAUUUUAAAACAAAGAAAAAAAAUACAAAAAAAGGACAAAAAUUGAAUAAAAAUUUCAAAAAUGAAAUGGAAUGACAAAAUGAAAAAAAAAAUUAGUUUAAAAAAGACAAAAAAAAAUUGAAAAACAUAUAAGUCCUAACAAUAUAAAAAGUCAGACAAAAAAUUAAAAAAGAGAAAAGUUAAUGCAAAAUAAAAAAAAGUAUGAGAAUUUAAAAAUGCAAAUAAGAAAUGAAAGGAAAUGUGUGGAAAAAAAAAGAGAAGCAAGAAAAGACAAAAGAUUUGGAAUAAAAAAUAGAAAAAUAAAAAAUUUUAAAACAACGAAAAAAUUAAAACCAGUAAAAAUGAAAGCAUAUGAAAAAAAGCAAAAAGAAGGAAAAUUGUGAAGGAAAAAAGUUAUUAAAAAAUUACAAAGUUGAAAAAAAAAAAUUAAGCGAAAAAAUUAAAUAAAAUACCCAGAAAGGAAAAAUAAAAAUAAACAAAGUAAGAAAAUAAAAAAUUAGCGAAGCAAAAAAAUAUAAAAGACAAAUGAAUAAAAAUUUCAAAUAUAAAAUGGAAAAAACUUUUAGUUUAGAAUGUAGAAAGAAAAACAAAAAAAAAAAAAACAAAUAGAGGAAAAAGAUAUAAAAUAUGAAAGAUGAAAAAUAAAAUAAAAGAAAGUGCACAAAAAAGAAGUUUGAGGUUUUAAAAUUAUAAGAAGAAAUAAAAAAAGGUGCGAACAAAAAGAUUUAAGAAAAAAAUAAAAAUGAAAAUGCAAAAUAUAUAAAAUAAAAAUUGAGAAAAAGAAGAAAAAAAUAAAAAAUGAAGAGGCAAAAAUAUGAAAAAAAAAUAAAAAGAAAAAAAUUUAUAGAAAAUUUUAAAACAAAGAAAAAAGUGAACAAAAAAAAAUGAAAGCACAUAAAAAAAAAGUAAAAAAAAGAAGAAAAAUUCGGAAGGAGAAAAAGUUAAUGAAAAAUUAUAAAAAUGCAACAGAAAAUAACCAAGAAUGAUAAAAGAAAAAAAGAUAGAAAAAUAAAAAAUUCCAAAACUUUAUAAAAAUUUAUGAAAUUAUAAAUAAAGAAAGAAAAUAAAACACGAAAAAAAAUUAAAGCAAAAGAAAAAAGAUAAAUAAAGCACAAAAAAAAAAAAGUAAGAAAAUGAAAAAGGACAAAAAUUGAAUAAAAAUUUCAAAAAUGAAAUGGAAUGACAAAAUGAAAAAAAUUAGUUUAAAAAAUACAAAAAAUUGAAAAACAUAUAAGUUCUAACAAUAUAAAAAGUUUGGGAAUUUAAAAACACAAAUAAGAAAUGAAAGGAAAUUUAUGGAAAAAAAAAAAAGAAAAGACAAAAGAUUUGGAAUAAAAAAUAGAAAAAUAAAAUUUUUAAAACGACGAAAAAUUAAAAUAAGAAAAAAAAUUAAAGCAAAAGAAAAAAGAUAAAUAAAGCAUGAAAAAAGAAAAAAAAAACAAAAAUACAACAAAAAAUUAUAAAAGGUAAGAAAAUGAAAGAGGACAGAAAAUGAAUAAAAAUUUCAAAAAUGAAAUGGAAUGACAAAAUGAAAAUAAAAUUAGUUUAAAAAAUAAAAAAAAAUUGAAAAACAUAUAAGACCUAACAAUAUAAAAAGUCAGACAAAAAAUAAAAAAAGAGAAAAGUUAAUGCAAAAUAAAAAAAAAGUAUGAGAAUUUAAAAGCGCAAAUAAGAAAUGAAAGGAAAUUUGAGGAAAAAAAGAGACAAAAGAUUUGGAAUAAAAAAUAGAAAAAUAGAAAAUUUUAAAACAACAAAAAAAUUAAAACAAGUAAAAAUGAAAGCAUAUGAAAAAAAAAAGCAAAAAGAAGGCAAAUUAUGAAGGGAAAAAGUUAUUAAAAAAUUACAAAGUAGAAAAAAAGAAAAUAAAAAAUAAAUUAAGAGAAAAAAUUAAAUAAAAUACCAAAAAAGGAAAAAAUAAAAAUAAACAAAUUAAGAAAAUAAAAAAUUAGCGAAUCAAAAAAUAUAAAAAGACAAAAUGAAUAAAAAUUUCAAAUAUAAAAUGAAAAAAACUAUUGGUUCAGAAUGUACAAAGAAAAAUAAAAAAAAUAUAACAAGCAGAGGAAAAAGAUAUAAAAUAUGAAAGAUGAAAAAUAAAAUAAAAGAAAGUGCACAAAAAAAGAAGUUUGAGGUUUUAAAACUAUAAAGAAGAAAUAAAAAAAGGUGUGAACAAAAAGAUUUAAGAAAAAAAAAGAAAAUACAAAAUAUAUAAAAUAAAAUUUGAGAAAAAGAAGAAAAAAAUAAAAAAUGAAGAGGCAAAAAUAUGAAAUAAAAGAAAAAGAAAAAAUUUAUAGAAAAUUUUAAAACAAAGAGAAAAGUGAACAAAAAAGAAUGAUGGCAUAUAAAAAAAAAGUAAAAAAAAGAAGAAAAAUUUGGAAGGAGAAAAAGUUAAUGAAAAAAAUAUAAAAAUGCAAUAGAAAAUAACCAAGAAUGAUAAAAGAAAAAAAGAUAGAAAAGUAAAAAAUUCUAAAACUUUAUAAAAAUUUAUGAAAUUAUAAAUAAAGAAAGAAAAUAAAAAAUAAAAUAAAAUAAGAAAAAAAAGUAAAGCAAAAGAAAAAAGAUAAAUAAAGCACAAAAAAAACAAAAAUACAACAAAAAAUAUAAAAAGUAAGAAAAUAAAAAAAGGACAAAAAUUGAAUAAAAAUUUCAAAAAUGAAAUGGAAUGACAAAAUGAAAAAAAAAUUAGUUUAACAAAAAAUUGAAAAACAUAUAAGACCUAAUAAUAUAAAAAGUCAGAGAAAAAAUUAAAAAAGAGCAAAGUUAAUGCAAAAUAAAAAAAAAAGUAUGAGAAUUUAAAAACGCAAAUAGGAAAUGAAAGGAAAUUUGUGGAAAAAAAAAAGAAAAGACAAAAGAUUUGGAAUAAAAAACAGAAAAAUAAAAAUUUUUAAAACAAUGAAAAAUUAAAACAAGUAAACAUGAAAGCAUAUGUAAAAAAAGCAAAAAGAAGGAAAAUUGUGAAGGGAAAAAGUUAUUAAGAAAUUACAAAGUAGAAAAAAAUAAGAAAAUAAAAAAAUAAAUUAAGAGAAAAAAUUAAAUAAAAUACCAAAAAAGGAAAAAAUAAAAAAUUAGCGAAUCAAAAAAAUAUAAAAAGACAAAAUGAAUAAUCAAAUAUAAAAUGGAAAAAACUUUUAGUUUAGAAUUUACAAAGAAAAAAAAUAACAAAUAGAGGAAAAAGAUAUAAAAUAUGAAAGAUGAAAAAUAAAAUAAAAGAAAGUGCACAAAAAAAGAAGUUUGAGGUUUUAAAGUUAUAAAGAAGAAAAAAAAAAAGGUGUGAACAAAAAGAUUUAAGAAAAAAAUAAAAAAUGAAAAUACAAAAUAUAUAAAAUAAAAUUUGAGAAAAAGAAGAAAAAAAUAAAGAAUGAAGAGGCAAAAAUAUGAAAUAAAACAAAAAGAAAAAAAAUUAUAGAAAAUUUUAAAACAAAGAAAAAACUGAACGAAAAAGAAUGAAAGCACAUAAAAAAAAGUAAAAAAAGAAGAAAAAUUCGGAAGGAGAAAAAGUUAAUGAAAAAUUAUAAAAAUGCAACAGAAAAUAACCAAGAAUGAUAAAAGAAAAAAAGAUAGAAAAAUAAAAAAUUCCAAAACUUUAUAAAAAUUUAUGAAAUUAUAAAUAAAGAAAGAAAAUAAAAUAAGAAAAAAAUUAAAGCAAAAGAAAAAAGAUAAAUAAAGCACGAAAAAAGAAAAAAAAAACAAAAAUACAACAAAAAAUAUAAAAAGUAAGAAAAUGAAAAAGGACAAAAAUUGAAUAAAAAUUUCAAAAAUGAAAUGGAAUGACAAAAUGAAAAAAAAAUUAGUUUAAAAAAUACAAAAAAUUAAAAAACAUAUAAGACCAAACAAUCUAAAAAGUCUGACAAAAAAUUAAAAAAGAGAAAAGUUAAUGCAAAAUAAAAAAAAAAAGUAUGAGAAUUUAAAAACGCAAAUAAGAAAUGAAAGGAAAUUUGUGGAAAAAAAAGAAAAGACAAAAGAUUUGGAAUAAAAAAGAGAAAAAUAAAAAUUUUUAAAACAACGAAAAAAUUAAAAAAAGUAAAAAUGAAAACAUAUGAAAAAAAAAAAGCAAAAAGAAGGAAAAUUGCAAAGGGAAAAAGUUAUUAAAAAUUUACAAAGUAAAAAAAAGUUAGGGAAUCAAAAAAUAUAAAAGGAAAAAAAUAAAAAUAAACAAAGUAAGAAAAUAAAAAAUUAGGGAAUCAAAAAAUAUAAAAAGACAAAAUGAAUAAAAAUUUCAAAUAUAAAAAGAAAGUGCACAAAAAAAGAAGUUUGAGGUUUUAAAAUUACAAAGAAGAAAUAAAAAAAGGUGUGAACAAAAAGAUUUAAGAAAAAAAUAACAAAUGAAAAUACAAAAUAUAUAAAAAAAUAUUUGAGAAAAAAAUGAGAAAAAGAAGAAAAAAUAAAAAAUGAAGAGGCAAAAAUAUGAAAUAAAACAAAAAGAAAAAAAUUUAUAGAAAAUUUUAAAACAAAGAAAAAACUGAACGAAAAAGAAUGAAAGCACAUAAAAAAAAGUAAAAAAAAGAAGAAAAAUUCGGAAGGAGAAAAAGUUAAUGAAAAAUUAUAAAAAUGCAACAGAAAAUAACCAAGAAUGAUAAAAGAAAAAAAGAUAGAAAAAUAAAAAAUUCUAAAACUUUAUAAAAAUUUAUGAAAUUAUAAAUAAAGAAAGAAAAUAAAACACGAAAAAAAAUUAAAGCAAAAGAAAAAAGAUAAAUAAAGCACAAAAAAAAAAACAAAAAUACAACAAAAAAUAUAAAAAGUAAGAAAAUGAAAAAGGACAAAAAUUGAAUAAAAAUUUCAAAAAUGAAAUGGAAUGACAAAAUGAAAAAAAUUAGUUUAAAAAAUACAAAAAAUUGAAAAACAUAUAAGUUCUAACAAUAUAAAAAGUUUGGGAAUUUAAAACACAAAUAAGAAAUGAAAGGAAAUUUAUGGAAAAAAAAAAGAAAGACAAAAGAUUUGGAAUAAAAAAUAGAAAAAUAAAUUUUAAAACGACGAAAAAUUAAAAUAAGAAAAAAAAUUAAAGCAAAAGAAAAAGAUAAAUAAAGGCAUGAAAAGAAAAAAAAACAAAAAUACAACAAAAAUUAUAAAAGGUAAGAAAAUGAAAGAGGACAGAAAAAUGAAUAAAAUUCAAAAAUGAAAUGGAAUGACAAAUGAAAAUAAAAUUAGUUUUAAAAAAUAAAAAAAUUGAAAAACAUAUAAGACCUAACAAUAUAAAAAGUCAGACAAAAAAUUAAAAAGAGAAAAGUUAAUGCAAAAUAAAAAAAAGUAUGAGAAUUUAAAAGCAGCAAAUAAGAAUGAAAGGAAAUUUGAUGAAAAAAAGAGACAAAAGAUUUGGAAUAAAAAAUAGAAAAAUAGAAAAUUUUAAAACAACAAAAAAAAUUAAAACAAGUAAAAAUGAAAGCAUAUGAAAAAAAAAGCAAAAAGAAGGCAAAUUAUGAAGGGAAAAAGUUAUUAAAAAAUUACAAAGUAGAAAAAAAAGAAAAUAAAAAAAUAAAUUAAGAGAAAAAAUUAAAUAAAAUACCAAAAAGGAAAAAAUAAAAAUAAACAAAUUAAGAAAAUAAAAAAUUAGCGAAUCAAAAAAUAUAAAAAGACAAAAUGAAUAAAAAUUUCAAAUAUAAAAUGAAAAAAACUAUUGGUUCAGAAUGUACAAAGAAAAAUAAAAAAAAUAUAACAAGCAGAGGAAAAAGAUAUAAAAUAUGAAAGAUGAAAAAUAAAAUAAAAGAAAGUGCACAAAAAAAGAAGUUUGAGGUUUUAAAACUAUAAAGAAGAAAUAAAAAAGGUGUGAACAAAAAGAUUUAAGAAAAAAAAAAGAAAAUACAAAAUAUAUAAAAUAAAUUUGAGAAAAAGAAGAAAAAAUAAAAAAUGAAGAGGCAAAAAUAUGAAAUAAAAGAAAAAGAAAAAAUUUAUAGAAAAUUUUAAAACAAAGAAAAAAGUGAACAAAAAAGAAUGAUGGCAUAUAAAAAAAAGUAAAAAAAAGAAGAAAAAUUUGGAAGGAGAAAAAGUUAAUGAAAAAAAUAUAAAAAUGCAAUAGAAAAUAACCAAGAAUGAUAAAAGAAAAAAAGAUAGAAAAGUAAAAAAUUCUAAAACUUUAUAAAAAUUUAUGAAAUUAUAAAUAAAGAAAGAAAAUAAAAAAUAAAAUAAAAUAAGAAAAAAAAGUAAAGCAAAAGAAAAAAGAUAAAUAAAGCACAAAAAAAACAAAAAUACAACAAAAAUAUAAAAAGUAAGAAAAUAAAAAAAGGACAAAAAUUGAAUAAAAAUUUCAAAAAUGAAAUGGAAUGACAAAAUGAAAAAAAAUUAGUUUAACAAAAAAUUGAAAAACAUAUAAGACCUAAUAAUAUAAAAAGUCAGAGAAAAAAUUAAAAAAGAGCAAAGUUAAUGCAAAAUAAAAAAAAAAGUAUGAGAAUUUAAAAACGCAAAUAAGAAAUGAAAGGAAAUUUGUGGAAAAAAAAAAGAAAAGACAAAAGAUUUGGAAUAAAAAACAGAAAAAUAAAAAUUUUUAAAACAAUGAAAAAUUAAAACAAGUAAACACGAAAGCAUAUGUAAAAAAAGCAAAAAGAAGGAAAAUUGUGAAGGGAAAAAGUUAUUAAGAAAUUACAAAGUAGAAAAAAAUAAGAAAAUAAAAAAAAUAAAUUAAGAGAAAAAAUUAAAUAAAAUACCAAAAAAGGAAAAAAUAAAAAAUUAACGAAUCAAAAAAAUAUAAAAAGACAAAAUGAAUAAUCAAAUAUAAAAUGGAAAAAACUUUUAGUUUAGAAUUUACAAAGAAAAAGAAAAAAAAAUAACAAAUAGAGGAAAAAGAUAUAAAAUAUGAAAGAUGAAAAAUAAAAUAAAAGAAAGUGCACAAAAAAAGAAGUUUGAGGUUUUAAAGUUAUAAAGAAGAAAAAAAAAA
This 10024-nucleotide long non-coding RNA is filed under the name Durio zibethinus. RNAcentral's name for it is "long non-coding RNA (DZIB_LNC001782)". The record is from RNAcentral. Lineage: Eukaryota; Viridiplantae; Streptophyta; Magnoliopsida; Malvales; Malvaceae.